RNAcentral lists this unclassified non-coding RNA (400 nucleotides) under soil metagenome. Its description in RNAcentral is "partial contains 5.8S ribosomal RNA, internal transcribed spacer 2, and large subunit ribosomal RNA". The stretch from base 1 to 122 matches the Rfam family "5.8S ribosomal RNA", at positions 35 to 154 of the family's 154-position model. The record is from RNAcentral.
GAUGAAGAACGUAGCGAAAUGCGAUACUUGGUGUGAAUUGCAGAAUCCCGUGAACCAUCGAGUCUUUGAACGCAAGUUGCGCCUCAAGCCAUUAGGUUGAGGGCACGUCUGCCUGGGCGUCACAUAUCGUUGCCUGAUGCCAGUUUCCUCGUGAUGGGUGACUGUGCAGGGCGAAUGAUGGCUUCCCGUGAGCAUUGUUGCCUCAUGGUUGGUUGAAAAUUGAGUCCUUGGUAGGGAGCGCCGUGAUAGAUGGUGGUUGAGUGACGAACGAGACCCAAUCAUGUGAGACCCCUACCGAAUUUGGCCGUCAUGACCCACAUGCGUCUUUGGAACGCUCAUGACGAGACCUCAGGUCAGGCGGGGAUACCCGCUGAGUUUAAGCAUAUCAAUAAGCGGAGGA